RNAcentral lists this ribosomal RNA (253 nucleotides) under uncultured prokaryote. RNAcentral's name for it is "partial 16S ribosomal RNA". It matches the Rfam family "Bacterial small subunit ribosomal RNA", at positions 524 to 776 of the family's 1533-position model. The record is from RNAcentral.
GACAGAGGGGGCAAGCGUUGCUCGGAAUUACUGGGCGUAAAGGGCGCGUAGGCGGGAUGGCAAGUCGGUCGUGAAAUCCUUCGGCUCAACCGAAGAACGUCGAUCGAUACUGCUGUUCUUGAGGGUUGCAGAGGAGAGUGGAAUUCCUGGUGUAGCGGUGAAAUGCGUAGAUAUCAGGAGGAACACCGGUGGCGAAGGCGGCUCUCUGGACGGUGACUGACGCUGAGACGCGAAAGCGUGGGGAGCAAACGGG